Molecule: long non-coding RNA, 1043 nt
Organism: Mustela erminea (ermine)
Lineage: Eukaryota; Metazoa; Chordata; Mammalia; Carnivora; Mustelidae
Exons: 3
Source: RefSeq, a predicted model, not a curated record
CAGAAGAUUCCUCAUCAGUUAGGGCUCCCAGAGAGGAGCAGAACCACUGCAUGGUUCUAGAGAAUCAGAAUUUAUGAAUAAAUUCUCUAUGAAUAGAGAAUCAGAGAUUUAUUAUCGGGGAUCCAGGCUCAUAAUUGCAGGGAUGGGCUAGGCCUGUCAGUCGGCCGGAGGCUGUUGCGUCACAGUGGAGUCAGCGGGGCAGGCGGUAGGGAAGGAGAAAUGGGCACAAAGUGGGGGAAGCAAUGACAGACUGCCACCAGUGUGGACAAACCAGAGCCCGUUCCUGCGUCUCACUGCUUCCAGGUGACGUUAUGAAGGAGCUGUAAGACACACAGGCCUUCUGCUGCUGCUCCACAGGUUGGUCCAGGAUUCGGAGGAGCUGCAAGAUGAGGUCUGGUGUGAACUGGAGAUGCUGAGGGCUCAGCGGCUACCCCAUCAUAACAGAUAUGGAAACAAUGACCACAAAAAUGUCCCUCUGAGAUCAUUACCAAGAAUGGCAACUGUGAAAGGGCCAAAUGAGCAGUCAACUGGAUGAAUUUCAGGAAACAUGAAGGGCCAGAAGUCCUAUCGCAUCAUCCAUCAUGGGGCCUUUGCUACUAAGUUGUAGAACACAUACAAAUAAUGGAUGUUUACCUGUCCUCCGGGGAAACUGAAGCAGUUUUACAGGCAGAAGUACUAACUGUCAUCCAUGAAAGUGAUUAUAGUGAUGGGAAGAUCUUCUUUAGAUAGGAAGGCUGUCAUAUUAUUUUGAUUCUAUGACGGUUCCCAUCGUCAGAUGGCUCGGGUGCAGGCAGUAUGUAUCUCUCUUCAGUUGGCUGAGACAUUGCGAGGUGUCAGAAGGACACAUAGAAAAAGAAUGCUGAGAACAGGGCCCAGAGCUUCCGGGGAAGAUUUCCAAUCUGAGCUCAGCCACCCCACAAUGGGUGAGCCCAGGCAAGCCACUUAACUUCUCCAGACCGCAGUCUUCUCUUCAACAAAAUCCUCCAGGUGCAAUGGAAUGGGAAGCCACAGGUUUGUAUUCUUUCUGUAAGUGCCUCCUACCC